Molecule: ribosomal RNA, 495 nt
Filed under: uncultured bacterium
Lineage: Bacteria
Description: partial 16S ribosomal RNA
Rfam family: Bacterial small subunit ribosomal RNA
Source: RNAcentral
GACGAACGCUGGCGGCGUGCCUAAUACAUGCAAGUAGAACGCUGAAGGAGGAGCUUGCUUCUCUGGAUGAGUUGCGAACGGGUGAGUAACGCGUAGGUAACCUGCCUGGUAGCGGGGGAUAACUAUUGGAAACGAUAGCUAAUACCGCAUAAUAGCAGUUGUUGCAUGACAACUGUUUGAAAGGUGCAAUUGCACCACUACCAGAUGGACCUGCGUUGUAUUAGCUAGUUGGUGGGGUAACGGCUCACCAAGGCGACGAUACAUAGCCGACCUGAGAGGGUGAUCGGCCACACCGGGACUGAGACACGGCCCAGACUCCUACGGGAGGCAGCAGUAGGGAAUCUUCGGCAAUGGACGGAAGUCUGACCGAGCAACGCCGCGUGAGUGAAGAAGGUUUUCGGAUCGUAAAGCUCUGUUGUAAGAGAAGAACGAGUGUGAGGGUGGAAAGUUCACACUGUGACGGUAUCUUACCAGAAAGGGACGGCUAACUACGUG